RNAcentral lists this ribosomal RNA (375 nucleotides) under uncultured organism. RNAcentral's name for it is "partial 16S ribosomal RNA". It matches the Rfam family "Bacterial small subunit ribosomal RNA", at positions 527 to 896 of the family's 1533-position model. The record is from RNAcentral.
GUAGGUGGCAAGCGUUGUCCGAAUUAUGGGCGUAAAGCGCGCGCAGGCGGGGUCCUUUUAAGUCUGAUGUGAAAGCCCACGGGCUCAACCGUGGAGGGUCAUUGGAAACUGGGGGACUUGAGUACAGAAGAGGAAAGCGGAAUUCCAAGUGUAGCGGUGAAAUGCGUAGAGAUUUGGAGGAACACCAGUGGCGAAGGCGGCUCUCUGGUCUGUAACUGACGCUGAGGCGCGAAAGCGUGGGGAGCAAACAGGAUUAGAUACCCUGGUAGUCCACGCCGUAAACGAUGAGUGCUAAGUGUUAGGGGGGUUUCCGCCCCCUUAGUGCUGCAGCUAACGCAUUAAGCACUCCGCCUGGGGAGUACGGCCGCAAGGCUG